GAACGCGACCAGUCGGGGCACGCGUAUCGGAAAACCUUCCUCUCCUUAUUCUCCGUGUUGGGAUCGGGAAGGAGCGGCGGUAGAUAGCGAGGGGGCAAGUAGGAGAGAUCGGCGGCGGCGGCGGUGGCGGUGGGGUUAGAGAGGAGGACUGCGUGGGAGAGGAGCGGUGGCAGCAGCGUUCACGGGUGCGACCACCUAAUCCACCAAUCUCGCCCUACACUGUUGCGUAGACCGGCCUCCUCUUGCACCCUCGCCGUAGAGGAUCGCUGCCGCGACCCCGUCCGCUACGAAGUUCCGCUGCCCGACUCCGCCGCCACGUCCCUAGGCGAGCCAGACGACAACGACGACGCCCGCCUGCCCCCUCGCCCAGCUCCACCGUCGAGGCAGCCACUACGGAUCCUUGGAGAGGUGGUUGAAGAAAGUCCCCCUCUAGGACUUACCGUCGUAGGAGCCUGGAAGCUUUCGUCGACAUUCGAAUUGAGACUGGAUUAGAGUAAGGUGAAAUACACAGGAAAUACUACAGUCUUGUACAAUAUUUAUAUUACUCACCAUAGAUAAUUGAACAUGGUGUUCAGGUGUUGACAUGACCUAGUCUGACGAGACCACGUAAAGUUUACUACGUCCGUACAGCUUUUAGACCUCGAAACGUCCGACGGGUAGGUCUUCCCAACGGCACCUUGGGAGCCCAAGAGACGUCACGACGGCGUCUCUUACUAGAAUACGGUCUACCUAACAAGUCUAUAAACUACCAAUAUGACUAUCCUUGUCAGCCGAAAAAAACAAAAGAUUUUUCUGUCCUUGUCAUAGGUCAUACUAACUGAAGAAUACAUUGUCGAAGUAACUCCUCGAGUUUCCACGACUGACUGACAAGAAUCCGGUUAUCAAAGUUAACAACAAUAUCGUAAAGAUAGCAAGAAGUGUCCAACGCUUUAGUUCGCACGAUCGCCACCGCUCGCUAAACUCGCGGUUACCGAGUUGUCGACUAAUAGUUAGUUCAAACACAUAAAAUAAAAGUGGCCGUUACGACGUAGGAAAACUCAACGUUACCAACAUACCAAGUCUAUCUGUUAAAUAGUAAAAAGAAAAGAACUGGUUCAAAUACGAAAAUAACUAGUUGUUAAUAAAACUUGGUGUUUGGAUAAUGAGAAACCUCACCGGUUUACACAUAGAAACUUAGAGGUUCACGGUGGCCCCACGAUAUAUAUAAAGUAACCAAGUACCUAGUAAUCCUCCGUUUAUUACCAUCUUUAUUAAUCGAACGUUCAAGACAUAACGGUCUCCUCAGUAUUAAGCAAAUCCCUUCGUUUUGGUACGUACUAUUAGUCCCCCUUGUACGUUGUAUGCAUCGGCUCCCGAAGAGACAUCCAUUAGUUCCCUAGGAUUAAGUCGUAACGAGGAGGUACAAUCUUAAUUAGUAAUAACUCCUUUAGCAAUUGACCAUCGACGAGCCAACCCACCGCUCACCUCCUAAUUAUCCGAUUAUGUUUAAUUAGCCGGUAAAUUAGUUAAUUAACCUACUAAAUAGUCAAAUGAAGGCCACUGGAAUACUCAUCCCUAAUUAGCCGUUCCAUUAACCAAUUAGCCUGUUUAAGAACUUGUCCCCUUAAUUAGUAACCCUUGAAAGCUAUCUCCACUAAAACAAAUCUAUUAAUCAAAUCCGCCAUUGUAAAACUAACUAUUCCGUAUACAAAUAAACGAAAAAGUAAGUCCCUAUGUGAAUUCAUUGGUAGUGGUAGUCAUUUUUCUUCCGUAUGUUUUGUACUUCAAAAACGGAAACAACAUACGGAGUAAUCGACAGCGAAUAAAUAAAGUUCAAUAAUCAGCUCGAAGAAAUACGAAGGGUAAAGAUUUAUUUUUCAAUUAUGUUAUAAUAACUACACACUCCUCCACUCUCUUCUUCUUUUCUCCCAGUAGUCAAAACGAACUACGACUGUACCAGUUCGAUCUCGUUCAACAGACUUCGUAGUUCUACCUCCCGGAAGAAACCCCAAGAAGACACAACGACUAUGUACAAAAAAAGACAGACGUAUUAAUGACACAAAACAUUCCAACUCCCAAAAGGCUGGGAACGUCGGUUCGAGCGCGGUCAAACUAUACCGUAGUUCUUCGACCAUAUCUACGAUACAAUACUACAGGUAAGAGGUCCUUCAGUGUGGUGGGAUCCUGAGACGGCGUCUCCUUGUGACUUACGGAGGACACUCGUGCCUGACGUCUCUGUUGCUCCUGGAGUUCGAAACAACCGGUGAGACGUAUCGUUUCAAUACGGAGAGUUCCACACUACCUAGGUUCUCGCACAUUCCUCGAAAAGGGGCGAUGUGGCCGUUGUCCGUGCGCUCGAAAGGCUAGGUGCUGUUGUGGCCAGUUGUUCACCUUACUAAUCUACGUCCGAUGAUCCUUGAGUUUCUUCUUCCCGUAAAACUUGUUUCCUUGGAAAUAACUAGACAUACAAGAUGAAAAUUGAAAGAUGACUUUUAUUUCGAUCCGAUGAGUACUAAAAAAAUCCGUAAAGAUUGAACCGUAUCGUCGUGCACAUCCACGAAUGUUUAACAGUGCACGUACGGUACGAUCUCGAGAGAACGCAUAACGUCCCUCGACCGGUGUCGAGUACAAAUUAAACAACGGGAAAGUAGUCAUUCCAAAAAUCACAUAUCAUGAAGAAAUCUGAUGAAUAAACCAGAAGUGAUUAAUUACUUCCUCGGGUAGGACCGAGCUUAGAAAUUAAAAGGUUUUCGAUACUAUUAAUUACGGUUCAAUAAAGAGAAUGAAAACAGUUUCUUAUUUUACAUCAUGCAUCAACAGUUUUACCUAAAAGCAACAAAGAACUUGAAAAAUGAAGACAUUUCAUGAUGAUUAACCCAUUAUGGUCUGUUUAAAGACACCACCGUAAACUAAGGUAAUCACAUUUCUACCUUGAAUGUACUUAAAGGACUAUACCAGUAUUUUAGGACCACCUCACGGGGCAAGUCGAACUCCAUUAUUUUAAGACCACUCUCGGGGUAGUUUAUUCUAUUAAAAAAGGUCACCAAGAGAACUAUCUUGUAAAGCUUGUUUAGGUACUCAUAAAACAUCGAUAUAUGUAUGGUACAGGAAACAAAGUAUAAUCAAGUGCUUAUCCAGUAACUGUACUUAUUAAUAAGAGGUUUUGUUGAUAAAUCACCACACGAUUCUAUGAUAACGAUAAAUUCACAACAAUUCGUUUAAUAGAGACUGCGGACAUGAAAAGUCGGUACACUUGCUUGUUUAAUUAAUUCUAGUUCGUAAGAGAACAAAAAAAUUAUACCUCGAAAAUCGUGGAGAAGUGGCUAGUUAACCCUAGUAAAAAAUAUCGUACGUCAGUUUAGAAACAAGGAGUAACAUAUAAAAAAGUAUCAGAUAAUUUUUUUGACCUUUUAACUUCUUGACCAUUAGGAAAACCAUAAGAGUAUAAAAAAACCAGGUGUAAUCCUUUACAUUUAAGUCAAUACGAAAGUAGAUGUUUAAAACCCUCCAGUUUUAUCAAUGGAACGAGAGAGAGAGAGAGAGAGAGAGAGAGAGGGGCAGGGAGGGAGGGAACCCGAUACACACCUAAACCUUUCCAACAUAACGCGACUUGUGAACACACUAGACUAUUUAUGUGCACGAGACUUGACAUUAGUCAGCUUUAAAAAUCUAGUUAAAAUAUAAAAUAAACAUGAUCGUUCACUUAAUAGUUGGCUUAAUAUACCACUAGUCUGACUAGGUCUAUGAUUACUUUAAGUUUACCACCGACGUCCUAUUUUCCUCGUUCCUAGUUACUAGGGUAUGUCCAAUUACUACUACUUCCAUAACUAAAGUGGAGAUAAGACGAACCGACGAGUACCUACUUCGUACAAUCUAAUCAUACAUGUAACGAUAAGGAACGAAUUACCCGUACAAGGAUACUCUUUGACUUUGUAUACGCAUACUAUUAACGUACGACGAUAAUCUCAUUUUUUCUCGAAGCUACCUAGUCCAUUUAAAUCACAUCGGGAGACUUUGACGUUACCGGGAUGUAAUGAUUAAAUAAUGUCUCCUUAUUAUUCUCAGGAUUACCUGAAUUAAGCACUACAAAGUAAAAUCGGAUUUAGAAGUCAAGUUACUGACGACCAAUAGGUACUUUGUCUGGUUGUGAAACAUAGUGACUAAUAAAUCUCUCGGCGUUUGCACGGUCCUUUGGGUUUCCAGGUUGAUCCUUACGUUUUUUAUAUAUCUGAUUCUCCUGGCAAUGUGUUCCAUUGAUAGCCAAGGAUGUUGUAAUGCAUUGGUACCUUAAAUAUACCCUAAUUUAUCAGUAAUACAACCUUUAUAUCCCAGUACGUAUGUAUGUCAUGUCCCUUGUGAACCUUGAGGUUACGUUCAUAGGUUCACUUAAACUGUAGAGAGGUCUACUCUAGACAGAAGAAUUCGCUGACCAAGUAAGCUCCCAUGGACGGUAAUUCCAGAUACAGACAUUCUACUUGUUGUGUACAUCAUGUCCUAUUUCUUACAUGAAGAGACGAGGUAUGUGAUCCUAGAAAGAGUUCGAAUUGGGUUAGCAACUCUUGUACACUUAGUAUUGGGGUACACCUACAAAUGUCCUUGUUGAAACAAAUUAUAUUCCAAUUCUAUUUUCUCACCGAUAGUUGUGUUUGACCUGCGUUAAGCAGUUUCGUCGGUCUUAGUUCUUUUUCCCUACAUAAGCAGACAGAAACUUCUCUGAGCCCAGCAGUCGACAGUGAGUGGCAGGUAUUGGAAAGUAUUCCACUCGAGCGACUAACGGUUCGCUGCCACUGCCACUAAAAAGUUGUCCAGUAUACUGUAACGCAGCUAGUGAGUCCUUUUUCUAGGGUAGGUCGUGUGUAGUUCCGUACGGGGUAUGCAGAAUAUAACAACACAUGUAUCAAACAAGGAUACGAAAUGUAUUUUUCGUAACAUUUAUUCAAUAGUACAUUACGCUAGAACGCAAGGAAAACCAUACGAUAGUACUUGGUUACGUAAAAACCGAAGGUAGUACAUUUGGAUAGUUCGUGUUUUCCACAGGAUAGCACAUAGGACG
RNAcentral lists this ribosomal RNA (5032 nucleotides) under Triticum aestivum (bread wheat). RNAcentral describes it as "partial small subunit ribosomal RNA". The record is from RNAcentral. Lineage: Eukaryota; Viridiplantae; Streptophyta; Magnoliopsida; Poales; Poaceae.